RNAcentral lists this ribosomal RNA (616 nucleotides) under uncultured bacterium. RNAcentral's name for it is "bacterial SSU rRNA". It matches the Rfam family "Bacterial small subunit ribosomal RNA", at positions 335 to 944 of the family's 1533-position model. The record is from RNAcentral.
ACUCCUACGGGAGGCAGCAGUGGGGAAUUUUGGACAAUGGGCGAAAGCCUGAUCCAGCAAUGCCGCGUGAGUGAAGAAGGCCUUCGGGUUGUAAAGCUCUUUUGUCAGGGAAGAAACGGUGAGAGCUAAUAUCUUUUGCUAAUGACGGUACCUGAAGAAUAAGCACCGGCUAACUACGUGCCAGCAGCCGCGGUAAUACGUAGGGUGCAAGCGUUAAUCGGAAAUACUGGGCGUAAAGCGAGCGCAGGCGGUUUUGUAAGUCUGAUGUGAAAUCCCCGGGCUCAACCUGGGAAUUGCAUUGGAGACUGCAAGGCUAGAAUCUGGCAGAGGGGGGUAGAAUUCCACGUGUAGCAGUGAAAUGCGUAGAUAUGUGGAGGAACACCGAUGGCGAAGGCAGCCCCCUGGGUCAAGAUUGACGCUCAUGCACGAAAGCGUGGGGAGCAAACAGGAUUAGAUACCCUGGUAGUCCACGCCCUAAACGAUGCCUACUAGUUGUCGGGUCUUAAUUGACUUGGUAACGCAGCUAACGCGUGAAGUAGACCGCCUGGGGAGUACGGUCGCAAGAUUAAAACUCAAAGGAAUUGACGGGGACCCCCACAAGCGGUGGAGCAUGUGG